RNAcentral lists this long non-coding RNA (1667 nucleotides) under Homo sapiens (human). RNAcentral's name for it is "HSALNT0283231". The record is from RNAcentral. Lineage: Eukaryota; Metazoa; Chordata; Mammalia; Primates; Hominidae.
GGGAGGCAGAGUAUCAUUGAAUAGAGUGUCAUGUCAUAUUGCCUCAUUCUGCCCUGUUGCUGCAUGGUGGAAGCAGAAGACAGAAAAUCAAGAUUCCCCUUGGUCCCGCUGAUACGGGGAAGGAGUUUCACCCCAUAGCCACAACAGCUAGUAAUGUUCUGAGUUUCACCUGAAGCCAGCAAGUCUCAGAGGCUCACCCAAGACCCUGGAUGUAGGACCUGGGUAUCGGUUCUGAUUAAGACCGAAGAGUUCUUCAGUUAGCAGAUACAGCAUGCUUGGAAAUGUGGAAAAUGAUCUGGAAGGGGAGAAAAGAGGGCAGAGAGACCUUUUCAGAAGUUGGUGUGAUGUUCCAUGCAAGUAAUGGUGAGGACUUGAAUUGGGGUAGAAGCACGACCACAAAAUAGCCUGCUAACAACUGUGUAAACACUGAACCACAACAGCACUGGACCAUGUGGUUGAUUCCCCAAGAGGGUCUCACUCUGUCACCUAGGUAGAAGUGCAGUGGUGUCAUCAUGGCUCACUGCAGCCUUGAUCUCCUGGGAUCAAGCAAUUCUCCCACUUCAGCCUCCCAUGUAGCUGGGACUACAGGCACAUGCCACCACACCCAUAUAAUUAUUAUUAUUAUUUUUUGUAUACACAGGGUCCCACUGAGUUGCCCAAGGCUAGUCUCAAACUUGUGCACUCAAGGGAUCCUCCUGCCUCAGCCUCCCAAAGAGCUGGGAUUACAAGCAUAAUCCACUGUACCCAGCCUGUAAUCCACUGUAUUUCUUUUUUUCAGCAUCCUAAAUAAUACUGUAGUGGAUAUCUUUUUGCAGUAACUUAUUAAAUCUAUAGAACUUUGCACAUAUUAAUAAUUAAUGAGACAUUAAUUGCUAUGAAAGUCUCAUGCAAUUAAAGAUGACAAAACACAGAAAGAUAUUUAGUGUUACAGUUCCAAUAGUUAAUCUUGUGUGUUUGAGAUGACUGUGUUAAGGGGGUCAUAACUGCAAAAUGUCUUCAAUAUGUUGUAACUGAUAUCUCAAUUGCUACUGAUAAGAACUUAUUUCUAAAACGUAGAAAUUUAAAGAAACUAUCUUUCGGCAAUCUGCCAAAAACUUUUUAAUAUGUUCAGAACAAAUUAAAUGGAAGAAUAUUUGCAAGGAUCCAAAACACUCCCAUUAUUCAUAAAAUGAUGGAAAUAUGAUAAACACAUUUUAGAAAUAUAAAAUUAAUCCCUGUGGCAGAGCUUAAUUAGUGGACAACUAUUCAGUAAAAUCUCAGUUAUUCUCUUCUUUCUGAGCACUUCUCUAGGCUAUAUUCACAAGCUUUCCUUGCAGUUUAAUGUGGCCAAAAGAUUGAGCUCUAACAGAAUUAAAGUGAAAGUGAUUUCUGCCCUGUCUAGGGAUUACCCCAGAUAUCUUUCACACAUGACCUUCUACAAUCUGUGUCUUUCCACUGUCUUGAUAAGGAUGAUCACAAUAACCUGGGAAGCUAUUUGUUGAAGAUAGAAGAGCCAGAUAUGGAGGAGUUUAUUUCUCUAAAUUGUCACUUAGAGGAGAUCUUUAUAACAACAUUAAUUUUGAAUGUUUUGCAAAUAAGAAAUAAACUUCUAUAUGUUUGAGACAUAUCACAUUUGGGGGUUUAUUCAUUACAGUUGCUAUUUGUUAUAGUUUUGCCUUAAAUAAUGC